Molecule: unclassified non-coding RNA, 7131 nt
Filed under: Leishmania donovani
Lineage: Eukaryota; Euglenozoa; Kinetoplastea; Trypanosomatida; Trypanosomatidae
Description: gene:LdHU3.30.2720(CDS-product:cyclosome_subunit-like_protein)
Source: RNAcentral
CUUCCUCGCACGCACGCAGUUGUGCUGCCCCUCUUCCCCCUUUUUUCACUACCGUUGGAAUAGAUGAUGGGCACAACAGCGCGUGCUUCCGCAUACCCCAUUUUACACAACGACACGUGCACAUUUGUAGACGCUGAUAAGGCCGCGGCGUCGGCAGCUGCCUCUUGCCUCCCCCUCCCCCUGAACCUCACCUCGGCACUUGAAGCCUCACGUGCACGAUUUUGAGAAGCACGCCGCGGCACAUCGGCUACUGCCUCCGACCUUGAUUCGCCCACUUAUGUGUCGUUUUGGGCAGGCGGCGCAUCUGCUCAAAGAACACCGGUAACGAACAAUGCCACUCAGCCCGUACACCAUCGAUGUAGGUCCGUGCAAGGCAGACGGUAGGCGAGACGUCUUUCUUCAGUGGCAUCAACGCCCAUGUUUCAGCACGACGCAUCGCGGAAUCACACGGGUGUGCCUCGCAAAAUGGCCGGCGCGCUCGAGGACCGAUAUGGCGCGGGAGACGAACGACGUGGAUGAGAGUGAGGCACUGCGAGCACAGCGAACUGAGCAGGUGUAUCAGACCCUGCUCGAGUUCGGCGAUCCACAGGGCCCGCCCACGUCACCUCAGCUGAUGUGCUCUGACCAUGAUGCGGCCGGCAACGACAACGACGCGAGGUCUCCUUUGGAGCAGUAUCUGUGCGUCUUUCAUCGCGAAGAACUGGCUGAUCAGUACGGCCGCUACACCUUUGUUCAGCCGCACACGAUCUGCACCGCGUACCGCAUCGCUGACUCCACCGCGCUUGAGCUGGUUCUGCACAAUAUCACGCCGACCGACAUUUCUGCCGCCGCAGCCGGCGUGUUUGUUCGUGGCCACCGUCAGUCCAACAAGGGCCUCCCAUCGAGCACGCCACUAGAGUAUCAAGGCAUUCAAUACAAGCCGGCGUCGAAUCUGUGGUGGAUGGGGGCACCUUUGUCGCUGAAGCCAGUGUACGUUGCGGUGCCGCUUGGCCCGCAGGUAGGCGCGACUGGUGGCGCGCCAAAGGGCUCAGUAGACAAGGCAUCCGGGUCGCAUGCGGACGGCAUCGCGGCGGCUGACUCUGAUCACGGUGACAAGGCUGCGGGAGACACAGUGUCGCGCCCAGUGGCUUCUCCCAUCGCCGUCGGCGCCGACGACGAAACAGCGCAAAAGGAGACUGGUGACAACACGAGUAGCCCCCUUCUUGUGGAACUCGGGGGCCGCACGGCACAGGGUGAGUUCGAGUUCCGGCACUCCCGCUCCUCCAGUCCCAACAUGUGCUGCCCGAGCCAGAGUGCAGUGCUCCCGGCGGAGGGGCUAGCGUCCCAGGUGGCGGCUGCCGCAUCCUCUCCGUCGUUGCCGAGGGCUUCGCUUCCUUUGUUCAGCAAUGCACAAGCUCGGCACGUUGCAGUGGAGGCGACGGUGCUGGCGCAGCUGGAGCUCUUUGACUUGACAGCCGGUAGCUGCACAUGUGCAAGCUCGCUCGCCGUCGUCCGCACGGGUGACGACGAGCUGGGUCUCGCAACGACGACACCGCAGUACGCGCUAGACUGCAUGCUGUGGCAGUGGUGGCCACACCGUGUCCGGCUGCCGCGGCUUGCCUCCGGCAACGCUGCCCUGUCGGCGGUGGCGUCGCCGCAUGCGGCACUUGAUCGCUACGCCGUUUUCGUGUACGAUGCACAUCAAAGCCGCGUGUUCGUGCUCCGCACGCCGCACCUGCGCAGCGGCACCGGUGACUUCGAGCUACUCUUCUCUUUUCCAUGUGGCAGCCUGCCAUUUGUCCUGCCGUGUUUGCGAGCGCCGCACCCAGCACCCAUCGCCGUGUGCAACUACCCCCGCCCCAACUGCAUCUCCGUCUACGAUGUCAUGGCGCUGUUGGAUGCCCCGGCGGCCACCACGGUAGCUAUGGAGCUCGACCUAGAAACGUACCAGGCGAACCACUCGGCCUUCUUCGGGAAAGUGUGCACAUCUUCAAGCGGCGAUGAUAGUGCACUUUUCGGAGGAGCUGAUAUUUUAUCGACGAACGGCAGCUCGACCCGUGGUUUCAUGCCAGCGCCUCCACUCCCCACCGGAGCUGCAGACAACGCCAUGGCGCGCUCCGUCACCGCUGCUUCAUGGAGGGCGGAUGCCAUUAACGGCGUGUCCCACCCCAUCCGCAACAUCUUGUACCACUAUCAGAAUCGCCUCGUCGUACAGUACGCCUGGCCCAGCGGCUCUGCGCAGCCGGCAGCGACGGAGGGCGCAGACGGCGCUGGUGCGGGAUUCGCGUCGUCGUGCGGUAGCGGCGAGUACGAGGCGGAUAGCGAUCAGAGUGUGCGUAGUCGCCACCGGCGCCGUCGCCGCUGCGAAGGCACGGUCUCGUUCACCGUCGAAUUCCCGGCGAUCACACUCGAUCAGGAUCCGUUGCUCGCCUUUGUGCUCGAGGCACUGAGCGCCGCCCUUGGCGCCCGCGCAGUGGCGGCUCUCGAGUACAUCCUUUUCGCGGAGCUGUGGCACCGCAAGUGCCGGGCGGCUGCCGUUGCUGAUGCCUUUGACCUUUGCGCACGGCUGCUGCGCAAGAUUUUCAGAUGUGAAUGCGGUUGCUCCGACCCGGCGCUCGCGUGUGCGAGCGCGCGGGCGGAGCUGCAGCAGGCAGCAGAAGACCCCGAGGCUACGGCGUGCGGGUCGGAGGCCAUGACGGAAGCUGCAGCGCCUCAUGUCUUUGUGGAUCCUUCGACCGUGACGCUUCAGCAGAUUCGUCGGACCAUCGCGCGGCGCCACACCGCAGACGCACCGGCGUGCUGGAGAAAGGAGGAGGAGGAGAGCAGCACCACCAGCGUCGUCAAAACCCCCAUUCCCGUCCGGCGGGGGGCGAUUGACGCGUACGCGUGGACGAGGCAAGAGCGUGGCUUGGCUUUGGUAUCACUGCAUCUGCUGUUUGAGGCGUGCCGUGCACAGGAGCAUCUCUGGCCACUGCUGCCGCGUUUGGCGAGCGUGAACCGGGACCUGAGCGACGCCUUGCAGUGGCCUUCCUACGUAGAGUACUAUGACGUUAUGUGUCCCAGGCUCUUCGCAGCCCCUCCGCCUCCGUCACAGAUAUCACCGACGCAGAGCUUUACGGACAGCCUCCCGGCGAGUGUGCUGCAAUGUCACUUCGACUCGCUGGAGAGGCCGGACAACGCCGCAGCGCUGCGAGCGUGCUGUGCCACGUCCGUGGCACCGUCAGCCGCCGAGUUCGCGAGCGGCGACGCACCGGCGCUUUUUUCGGCGCUCUCCCUCACAGCAAUGCGUAGCAGCAUCCCCAGAUCCGUUGCGGUGCCUUUUGGCACGUGGCCGCUCCUGAAGCACUUGCCAGAUGCACACCCUAUCGCACUCGUGAAUCGCGUCGUGCUCCUCUACCGCGACAUCUUCGGCGCCUCAGCGGGUUCGCUAACUGCCACUUUGGCCUCGAGCGUGGACACCAGCAGAGGGGACGUUCUGGUGGACUCGCACGUUGAUGCGACUUGGUGGCAGCGUAUCUGUAGCCUGGUUCUGCAGCGGCACAUCUCUUCGCGCGUGGUGCGGCACACCCUGAACGCCGCCGCGGCGUACCCGCUUUUGGAGGCGUUGACAAAGGGACGUGAGUGUGCCGAUUCCACGUGGCCAGCGGCACUCCUCGAACUGGUAGGCCGCCGGGACCGGUGCCCACCCACCUCGCGAACCGCGCAGAUCUCGAGCGCUGGGCAGCACGUGGUGGAGACCGCGGAGGAGAACGCCGUCUCGCGUCAGUUCCGCGUGGCUUUGGCGGACGACGACGGUGUCUCUGUGCGGCCGGACUUCCGGAAGACCUGGAGAGACUCUCGCCUCGAUAUGGUGCAGAAUCUCUUUAACACGGUCGCCCCUAUUUCGCUCUCGGGGUUCGAGGAUCGGCCGGAGGAGCUCACCGGGGCGCUUGAGCUGCUGUCCUGCCGCACGCGAGCGAUGCCGCUCGGUCGCGGCAUGCUCACAAUGUGCACGCAGAGCUUCAAGGUGCAGGAUAGCAUCCCCAUUGCACCGCUCAAUCUGAACGGGCGCACCAGCGACGGAAUCAAUGUUGCGAGCAAGCCGGCGGACGACCUCAUGUGGCCUCUUUUUCACAAUGGGUGCGCAGCCGGUCUCCGGUUUCUGCCGCUGCCGCCAGCCUUCUGCGCCGGCACAGGAGAAGCGCCGUUCGCGACGCAGGACGCGCUCGGAGACACGGAUGCAAAGGAGGCAGCUGCCCUUUCGCUUCGUAACGUCACGCAGAGCAUCACAAAACAGUGGGUCAUGUACCAGACGAAGAACAUUGGCGACCCCGCUUCGCGAGCCGGGCUCUUGCUCGCCACGGGUAUCCUCGGCCACCUCACGGUGCUGCAGCGCACGGAUAUUUUCUACCUUCUCAUCUCGCGACAGGAGCAGUACGUCUGGCGCGAGGCCACAACGAUGGCGGUGAUGCUGGGGCUGAGCUGCAGCUUCUGCGGCACCGGAAACGAGGCAGUGUUCCGCUGCCUCUCGGUGCAUGUGCAGUCGCUGAACCCGAGUGCCGAGGAUAUCGAGGUGUCCCUGGAUGUGCAGACUGCAGCGCUUGUGUCCAUGGGCCUUCUGUGCCAACAGUCGCCGUCUAACUCCUUUCUUGUGGAGGUCUUCCUCGUUGAGCUGUCGCGCCUGCCCACGGAUGAGCACUGCACCAAGCGCGAGGGCUACGUGCUCGGCGCCGGCUUCGGCCUUGGCCAGCUGCUGCUCGGCGUAGGCCAGUCGCACGGAGUGCAGCGCGUCGAGGACCGUCUGCUGGCCAUCAUGAGGGGUGAACCGCGCAGCGCCGCCGUGUCAACGCGCGAGGGUGUCGAGCACUUCGAAGAAACGAUGGGUCGCGGGGAGGCGGGGCAUUUCCUCACCCGUGCGCUGCUGUCGCAGGACGAGCGGGAGGCCACCUACAACGCAUGUGCGAGUGUCUACGAAGGCGACUGCUACAACGUGUUCGUGUCCGGCCCAGCGGCUGCUAUGGCGCUCGGCAUGAUGUAUCUGAGGACUGAUAGCGCGUUUAUCGCGUCAAGGAUGGCGCCGCCGAAUCGGCGCGCCGCUAUGCAGAAGUUGACGCCUCUGAUGUGCCACCUGCGGAGCAUGAUGGCCUCGCUGAUUGGCUGGAGCUCGAUCGAGCCAACGCGGCUGUGGCUCUACAACCAGGUGCCCUCCUCCUUGUUGGAGCUGACGCAAGCAUCGCUGCCGCGGCUCGCCACACAGCAGAUCAACUACUUGCUGAUGAAUCUUGCCCACUGUAUCGCCGGGCACGUGAUGGCGGUCGGGUUGCGGUUCGCAGGCACGAUGAACAGCACAGCGCGCGACCUCAUCUUCGCGGAGCUACAGGGCUUUCUCGCUGGCCGCGUUGGUUCCACCAAGGCCGCCACUCCCGCCGUACAGCGCGCGACAGGUGCGUAUGAGACGUGUCUGCUGGCCUGUGCGAAUGCGCUGAGUCUUGUCAUGGCGGGCACAGGGGACUUGAGGGCGUUAGCGCUGCUGCAGCAGUUGCACCGGCGCACAAAUGUGCCCUACGGCUCUCACAUGGCCAUCUCCAUGAGCAUCGGCUUGUUAUUCCUGGGAAGUGGGCGGUUGACACUGUGCAACAACAUCACCGCGGUGGCGGCGCUGCUCAUGGCAUUUUACCCGGUCUGGCCGAAGGACGCAGAGGACAACACGGGCCAUUUGCAAGCGCUGCGACACUUGUAUGGGCUGGCCGUGGUGCCGCGGGUCAUGGAGGCGGUGGAUGCCGUCAGUCACCAGCCUGUGUCGGUUCCUGUGCGCAUCGUUCUGCGCAAGAAGAAAUCUGCGGAAAUGGACGCCGAUGUGAGAGCUCAGCAGCGAACCUCGCGUGCUGCUGCUUCUGAUGCCGUGGAGCGCGCCGAGGACACCGAGCAGGCUAUCCACACUGUCACCCCGUGCCUAUACCCGCCAGUGGAGAUGAUUGAGCGGGUGGAGGUGCGCGGCACUCAAUACUACCCACUGGUGUUCUACGCCUUCAGCAAGGAGCUCACACAGUCGGCGGGUAUGCUGUUUCGCGUCAUGGCGAAGGAGAGCGCCUCCUCACCAGUCUACAGUCGAGGCGGCGGGCGUGCUCUCUCUACCAGGACCUCAAUCGAAUCCAGGCUGCUCGGCUGGCUGCAUCGACUCUUUCGCCAGAGCUCGACAACGAUGACCGAGGCACUCACCAUCAUUGACAGCGUGAAGCUAUUGUUACGGGUGCAACGCCCGCUCCUCUCCCGCACAACAGGGGGAGGUGAGCUGCUGCUCUCCGGCGACUUUGGGGAGGCCAUUGCGGAGGCGAUGGAGAGACGGUAUGCGUUCAUCUUCCUUCAUGGUGGCGUGCCGGCCGCCGAGGGUGUGUCGAGUGAUCCUCACCACCCACUUCGCCAGCUGAUUCUCGAGGGCAAAUCGCGCGCAGAGGUGUUUCAGUCCAUCGCCCGCCAUCCUCAGGGCACGGUGGCGUUUCCAUGUGACUUCACAGCCCUUUCCGUCGGUUGCGCCUCUCCGGCAAACGGGGGAGGAGGGACCACGAUGGCGCCGAUGUUGCCUGCAGAGCGGAACAUGUGCCCUGUCAUUGACACGGGUGCGCUGGCGCGCUGGAUGACAGAGGCGUUGCACUAUUACGGUAUAGGUCAGCGGGAGAUCGCGCUGCUCCGGCGAGCCUUCACGGCCUUUCCCACGUCUGCGGCUGGUAGCCCGAUGGGGACCAGCUGCGAGGGCUCAUCUUCGGUGCAGCGACUUACAGCCCUCCUGCGGUUGCAGGCGACGACGUUGCUGCCUCUUGCAACCCUCGAAAAGAUCUGGGCCUGCUGCGUCUACUGAGGCGUGUAUGCAUCGAGCGAGGAGCCCUCGUUGUAUGCGACUUGCAGGCGCAAACGAACGACACGACCAGAAAACAAGGAGAUGCCAGGGUGCAAGUGCGUGUGUGCGUUCUCACGGAUAGAAGGAAGCGACAUGAGGGGCCUACUGUUACUCGGAUAUUCAAUGCAGAACGGCGCAGACCGUCGGUGACGGGCGCGCUAACGGGCCCUCGAUACGCAAGCAGCUCUGCUUGCGCGUUUUGUCCAGCCCAGGCACCGUAGAUCACACCUGGAGAAAGGGCAGCAUAUAGAUAGGAGAAAGGAGUUGAAUCUACGGCC